AUACGGAGGGUGCAAGCGUUAUCCGGAUUUAUUGGGUUUAAAGGGUACGUAGGUGGCCCUGUAAGUCAGUGGUGAAAUCCUGCCGCUUAACGGUAGAAUUGCCAUUGAUACUGCGGGGCUUGAGUACAGUUGAGGCAGGCGGAAUGUGCAGUGUAGCGGUGAAAUGCUUAGAUAUUCGGAGGAACACCAGUGGCGAAGGCGGCUUACUGGUCCAUUACUGACGCUGAGGUGCGAAAGCGUGGGGAGC
This 247-nucleotide ribosomal RNA is filed under the name uncultured bacterium. Its description in RNAcentral is "partial 16S ribosomal RNA". It matches the Rfam family "Bacterial small subunit ribosomal RNA", at positions 523 to 769 of the family's 1533-position model. The record is from RNAcentral.